RNAcentral lists this unclassified non-coding RNA (241 nucleotides) under Glomus sp. Its description in RNAcentral is "partial contains 5.8S ribosomal RNA and internal transcribed spacer 2". The stretch from base 1 to 65 matches the Rfam family "5.8S ribosomal RNA", at positions 84 to 154 of the family's 154-position model. Lineage: Eukaryota; Fungi; Glomeromycota; Glomeromycetes; Glomerales; Glomeraceae. The record is from RNAcentral.
GUGAAUCAUCGAAUUUUUGAACGCAAAUUGCACUCUCUUCGGAGAGUAUGCCUGUUUGAGGGUCAGCCUAAAAAAAUCGACGGAAUCGCUUUUUCGCGGUUACAUUCCUCGGGAAUUGGGUCAUCUUAAACCUUUGGGUUUUUUAAAGGGCCUAAAAUUUUCUUUACGAUUCCACGAACGUUUCUAAAGUUUUACUUCUUACACACGGUUAAGGUAUCGAUCUUUAUUAAACCGUGCCGUU